RNAcentral lists this ribosomal RNA (447 nucleotides) under uncultured bacterium. RNAcentral describes it as "bacterial SSU rRNA". It matches the Rfam family "Bacterial small subunit ribosomal RNA", at positions 355 to 825 of the family's 1533-position model. The record is from RNAcentral.
UGGGGAAUAUUGGACAAUGGGCGCAAGCCUGAUCCAGCCAUGCCGCGUGAGUGACGAAGGCCUUAGGGUUGUAAAGCUCUUUUGGCGGGGAAGAUAAUGACGGUACCCGCAGAAUAAGCUCCGGCUAACUUCGUGCCAGCAGCCGCGGUAAUACGAAGGGAGCUAGCGUUGUUCGGAAUCACUGGGCGUAAAGCGCACGUAGGUGGGCAGUUAAGUCAGGGGUGAAAGCCCGAGGCUCAACCUCGGAAUUGCCUCUGAUACUGGCUGUCUAGAGUCCGAGAGAGGUGGGUGGAAUUCCUAGUGUAGAGGUGAAAUUCGUAGAUAUUAGGAAGAACACCGGUGGCGAAGGCGGCCCACUGGCUCGGUACUGACACUGAGGUGCGAAAGCGUGGGGAGCAAACAGGAUUAGAUACCCUCGUAGUCCCUGAGCGGGCUGGCAAGGCGCAU